This 539-nucleotide transfer RNA is filed under the name uncultured Prochlorococcus sp. Its description in RNAcentral is "partial 16S-23S ribosomal RNA intergenic spacer". The stretch from base 211 to 283 matches the Rfam family "tRNA". Lineage: Bacteria; Bacillati; Cyanobacteriota; Cyanophyceae; Synechococcales; Prochlorococcaceae. The record is from RNAcentral.
CAGGGAGACAACAAAAUGUUUAAUAUUAUUAUUUUGUCACCUUAGGUCGAUCGGUACCUCACAUUUUUAAUUUAUUAAAAAUUUCAUUUCCUAAGUUUUUCUAGGUCACACCCAUUAUUUUCCUGGGCCAUUAGCUCAGGUGGUUAGAGCGCACCCCUGAUAAGGGUGAGGUCCCUGGUUCAAGUCCAGGAUGGCCCAUAUCUCUAUGUUGGGGGUAUAGCUCAGUUGGUAGAGCGCCUGCUUUGCAAGCAGGAUGUCAGCGGUUCGAGUCCGCUUACCUCCACUGAUUACCACCUCUUCCAUAAAAUGUAGAAGGGAAAUGUUUUGAGUUGUGAUCACUUUCUGAACGAAUCUAGCUUCCUAAUGUAAUCAUUAAGAUGCUGGACUCAUUGAAUUAAUUUCAUUGAUUUCAGAGAACCUUGACAACUGCAUAGAUUAUUUUUAAAGACAAUAAGCAUCUUUAAUGAUGCAGAUUUAUUAUUUGUGCGAAUGCAUUAAUAACAAUUCUAUUAAGCUGAUGCUUCAAUUUUGAAGUUAUU